Molecule: ribosomal RNA, 376 nt
Filed under: uncultured bacterium
Lineage: Bacteria
Description: bacterial SSU rRNA
Rfam family: Bacterial small subunit ribosomal RNA
Source: RNAcentral
UACAGAGGUGGCAAGCGUUGUUCGGAAUUACUGGGCGUAAAGGGCGCGUAGGCGGCCCGUCAAGUCCCGUGUGAAAGCCCCCGGCUCAACCGGGGAACUGCACGGGAAACUAGCAGGCUUGAGUUCGGGAGAGGGAAGCGGAAUUUCGGGUGUAGCGGUGAAAUGCGCAGAUAUCCGAAGGAACACCGGUGGCGAAGGCGGCUUCCUGGACCGACACUGACGCUGAGGCGCGAAAGCUAGGGGAGCAAACGGGAUUAGAUACCCCGGUAGUCCUAGCCCUAAACGAUGAGAACUGGGUGUAGGGGGUAUGAACCCCCCCUGUGCCGAAGCUAACGCAUUAAGUUCUCCGCCUGGGGAGUACGGUCGCAAGGCUGAA